GACAGAGGGUGCAAACGUUGUUCGGAAUUACUGGGCGUAAAGCGCGUGUAGGCGGCUAUGCAAGUCGGGCGUGAAAUCCCACGGCUCAACCGUGGAAGUGCACCCGAAACUGCGUAGCUAGAGUCCUGGAGAGGAAGGUGGAAUGCUUGGUGUAGAGGUGAAAUUCGUAGAUAUCAAGCGGAACACCGGUGGCGAAGGCGGCCUUCUGGACAGUGACUGACGCUGAGACGCGAAAGCGUGGGGAGCGAACAGG
Molecule: ribosomal RNA, 253 nt
Filed under: uncultured bacterium
Lineage: Bacteria
Description: partial 16S ribosomal RNA
Rfam family: Bacterial small subunit ribosomal RNA
Source: RNAcentral